This is a long non-coding RNA of Trifolium pratense (red clover), 533 nucleotides long. RefSeq lists it as uncharacterized. The transcript has 2 exons. Lineage: Eukaryota; Viridiplantae; Streptophyta; Magnoliopsida; Fabales; Fabaceae. The record is from RefSeq and is a predicted model, not a curated record.
UGGAAGUUUCUUCUUUUUACAAUUUCAUAUACGCUAAAAACUAUUUAUAUGAAGAAAAUUAACUCUAUAAAUUAUAUAGUGAUAAAAUCAUUUGUUACAUAUACAACGGAGAAAUAUGGUUGAAAUUGUCAACUUUAUUUAUGUUAUGAUUAUCUUUCUUUCCUUAUAUCAUGUUACAAAGAAUGUCGUUGGUUCUGGAUGUGUUCAAGAUUAUGAUUGUCCACAAGAUAUGUGUCCGCCUGGUUUAAAAGCAAAAUGUUUUUAUGAAACUUGUCUAUGUGCUGGAAAGAUGUUGCAAUAGAUUUUGUGACCACAUGAUUUUGUAUUUAGCACUAGACGCAAGAUUUACACAAAUGAUUUGCUAAAGUAUUUUAUCAUUUAUUAUGCAUGCUGGCGCACAGUAAAUUGAAUUUUUUUUUUUCUUUUUCUAAUUACACAAACCUUGUUGUAGUUUUGUCAUGGUAAUCUAAGAUCAUGGUAAAGAAAUUAAAUAAGGAAGCAAAUAAUAUUUAUAUUGUCUUUUUCUCUUUUAA